This 640-nucleotide long non-coding RNA is filed under the name Oncorhynchus kisutch (coho salmon). RNAcentral's name for it is "lncRNA (ENSOKIG00005033624.1)". Lineage: Eukaryota; Metazoa; Chordata; Actinopteri; Salmoniformes; Salmonidae. The record is from RNAcentral.
AUGAAGUUAACUUCACAGUGCACUGAAAAUGCAUACUGCGUUGUCCUAACAUGCACGAAUUCAAAGUUUCUAUUGAUUCUAAAUGCUUUUCAUUACUUUGUAGACAAAGUGGGAUGGAAGAUGGAUACAUUCUGUUGCAAGGCUCCAACCCCCUUGAUAUUUGGUCCAGCUUGGCUGGUGCCAAUCUACUUGGCGGUCUUGCUGCUGUUGUGGCAAUGCAAGUUCGACUGGGACUUGAGGAUGGUGCCGACGCUUGUUGAAGAGCUUCCGUCAUGAAAAGAGCUGCUCCGCCAGGAGGCAUUUCAUUGUGUAGACUGUAUCCAUGGCUGUAUUUUGUGCCAAUGGCAAAUUAACUUUGAUUUGAUCUCCCAAAGUCACCAAGAGUCAAGUCAUGUAGGGGGUGUUCCUCUUGGUGUUGUCCUUGGACUCCCUUCUACUACAGUUUCCCCCCAAGUAAAGUACUUUGACAACUGCUGAUGUAAAAAAUGUUUUUGAUAAUGAACUUUUAAAUUGCCACCAAUAAAAAGUAAUCUGAUUGCAGCAUUUGAAUAAAGAAUGAAUGGUCAUCCUUGCACUAUUUUGUGAGGGCAUGGUUGUGUGUUGCACUUACAAUAAGUAUAUAAGUAUAAGUAUAUUUUAC